Long non-coding RNA from Hylaeus volcanicus, 2248 nucleotides. RefSeq lists it as uncharacterized. NCBI's taxonomy places the organism in Eukaryota, Metazoa, Arthropoda, Insecta, Hymenoptera, Colletidae. The transcript is spliced from 3 exons. The record is from RefSeq and is a predicted model, not a curated record.
UACCGAUUUGUUCGCCGGUGUGAGUGGGUCGUGUCGACGGUUUGCGUGCGCAACGCCAGACAGUGUGGUACCCUCGCGUUCAGUAAAAACGACAUUUCGAUAUUUUCUGCGUUUAUUUUCUCCGUGAUUUCAUCGUGCAUCGUCUGUCGUGCGCGACGUCCUCGUAUCGAGUUCAUAUAUCUUUUUUCGUUUCGUCGUCUCGGCUCGCGUGAACGCACGAGAAAAUGUGUGCCGCGGAUGUUGUUUAACAGUGAUAACACCGUCUUGACUACGGGCAGUUGCAUUUGAUUUUCUUAUGUGACCAGUGCGUUUGUGUAAUAGGUUUCCGGUACUUGGUGGUCGGCAGCAAUAGUUCACGAUGAAGCUGGAGUAUCCUUGUCGCGUCGAGGGUUGGCUGAACGUUUGUGGUAAGACAUUUUUUAAUUAAUGUUUUACAUUCUUCCUUGGAAAAUAUUGAAGAACGAAAACUACGAAACUGUGGGGUUCGUCAUACGAGUAAGUCCAUUGUGGUUCAUCCGAGUAUCAAUUCCAAUUAUCAUCGAUCUUGCUAACGACCGAUUGUCGCGAUAAUUAAUUAUCCAACACGUCGAUGUGUUUUGGGACACAGGUUCCCAGUAGAUCGGUGCAUAUUAGCGCACAUGGGCACGCAUCGACAUAUCCGUUCUCAGGUAUGUAAUGAGACGCACCGCAAGUAUUCGAAUUGCAGACACAGCCAACGCCCCUCCCCCGUCUCGUGGAACUGCGUUUCGUCGUUCGUUAUCCAUGGUCACACUUAACAUUUAAUUUACUAAUGAACGUUGGCGAACGAUUCACGACACACAACCUACUGGUAAUCCUACUUGUGGGACUUGGGACUAGUCGACUAAUUGUAAGUACUGGAUCGCGCCGUUCGACGAAUUAAAAUUGAAAGCGAAUUAAUUAAUGUUAGUCACAAUGCCGAGAGCAUACUCAGGGGUGAUUUUAAAAUUGCAAUUUUUUCAUAAACGGAGUAACUUCGAUUAGCUUUCGGCGAUGAGUUUCGCAUCGUUCGUAUAUUUUUUUAUAGGACUGAACAAUAAAAAUAUAUAUUAGGGGAACUCGUAAGUAACGGCGUCUUUUUAUAUUUCUCAAAAUUCGGUUUUAUUUAAGAAUUAAUACUGUUUCAAUUUAGAGUAUAACGUUCUCAAUAGGUUUUACCUACAAGUAACCCUAAUAUAAUUUGGUAAUGUAUAUACAAAAUUUUAUUUUAUUUAAAAUUUAAUGCCGUUUUAAUUUGCAAUAUAAUCUCCAUCGUUGAGCUUGUUUAAAGCCUCUUCUGGAAAAUCCUCGUUUAUAAAAAUCCUAUUCGUUUAUACCAAUGUUGAUUCCUGUGUGUUAGAUUUAAUCUAUCCUGGUUGGGUUCGAAAUUAAUCUUUUUUAAAUUGACCACAUGGAUAGAUCUCGAUCAACACAAAACUGUUAUAAUGUUAUAUGUAGACUACGGAUGUUUAUGCAAAUUCAUAUUUUUACAGAUACUAUUCCAAUUUACACCUCGUGUAUACACUUUCCAAACCAACUAUAAUUUCCCACAGUGAUACAUUUAAACAAACCUUCCACGUAACGUAAUUCCACUCAACCAGCUCUAUUUCUAAAAAAAACUGACGUCAGAUGUUUUUCAAACAAUCAACUGAGAUACACUUAUGAAUGGGGUAUCAAAUAUAAAUAAUUUGAGUGUCUUGCUCGACCAGGAAAAUUUCAACACGCCGUCCUUUUUACAAUAAACUUUCUCACGAUUGUUCGUGUCCGUGGAUACACUGGCCGUUUCUGAACGCGUUUCGAACAACACGUGGGUGCUACGGGUAUUAUGCACGCGCACCUACGCACCCACACUCGUUCAAAGGUCGAUCGGCACUUCCACCUACGUCUCCGAGUAGAUCUCGUUUCGUACAAUCCGAUAUCCCAUGGGAAUCUGUUUGAAAUUUAUCCGUGGACGUUCCGAUGGCGAAUUCGCACACGAGUCGACCGCAAAGUCGGCCACGUUCGUCAGCCAACGGUGCGCGAAAAUCUGUAUCGUUUUCUCGUGUGAAUUAUACCUGGAUUCACGCCAUUAUCUCGCGAAAACACAGUCGAAAACAAGAUAAAGCGGUUUUGUGUGCAAAUGGGGGCUCGCGUGUAGUUACCACUGGAUCGAGGACAUUACCGUACUCGUAUCGAUUUCAUCAGAAAUCGGAAAUGCACUUUGAAAGCGUAUACAGUACUGUACAAAAGUCUUGAGCCACUUACGGUAGUU